This 403-nucleotide ribosomal RNA is filed under the name Verrucomicrobiota bacterium. RNAcentral describes it as "Verrucomicrobia bacterium partial 16S ribosomal RNA". It matches the Rfam family "Bacterial small subunit ribosomal RNA", at positions 355 to 776 of the family's 1533-position model. Lineage: Bacteria; Pseudomonadati; Verrucomicrobiota. The record is from RNAcentral.
UGGGGAAUAUUGCACAAUGGGCGCAAGCCUGAUGCAGCCACGCCGCGUGAACGAUGAAGGUCUUCGGAUCGUAAAGUUCUGUUGCAUGGGAAGUUAAUGACGGUACCCUGUGAGCAUGCCCCGGCUAACUACGUGCCAGCACCCGCGGUAUUACGUAGCGUGCUAUCGUUAUCCGGAUUUACUGGGCGUUAAGGGUGCGUUGGUGGUCUUUCAAGUCGGUGGUUAAAGGCUACGGCUCAACCGUCGUUAGCCUCCGAAACUGGAAGACUUGAGUGCAGGAGAGGAAAGUGGAAUUCCCAGGGUAGCGGUGAAAUGCGUAGAUAUUGGGAGGAACACCAGUAGCGAAGGCGGCUUUCUGGACUGCAACUGACACUGAGGCACGAAAGCGUGGGUAGCAAACAGG